This 607-nucleotide ribosomal RNA is filed under the name Trichotonannus sp. 2 AK-2020. Its description in RNAcentral is "SSU rRNA". It matches the Rfam family "Eukaryotic small subunit ribosomal RNA", at positions 569 to 1099 of the family's 1831-position model. Lineage: Eukaryota; Metazoa; Arthropoda; Insecta; Hemiptera; Ceratocombidae. The record is from RNAcentral.
AGCAGCCGCGGUAAUUCCAGCUCCAAUAGCGUAUAUUAAAGUUGUUGCGGUUAAAAAGCUCGUAGUUGGUUCUGUGUGCCACGCUGUUGGUUCACCGCCUGUCGGUGUAACUGACAUGUCGUGGGACGUCCUGUCGGUGGUAUUUGCAAUCCGGUUUAACAGUAGGGCUCUGCUUUAUUGUUUAUCCCGGUUUUUGUAAUUACCGAUUAAUUCCCGCCUCGGUGCUCUUUAUUGAGUGUCGAGGAGGGCCGACACGUUUACUUUGAACAAAUUAGAGUGCUUCAAGCAGGCAAUAUUCCGCCUGAAUACUUGUGCAUGGAAUAAUGGAAUAGGACCUUGGUUCUAUUUUGUUGGUUUUAAGUAUCCAAGGUAAUGAUCAAUAUGGACGGUCGGGGGCAUUCGUAUUGCGGCGUUAGAGGUGAAAUUCUUGGAUCGUCGCAAGACGAACUAGAGCGAAAGCAUUUGCCAAGUAUGUCUUAAUUGAUCAAGAACGAAAGUUAGAGGUUCGAAGGCGAUCAGAUACCGCCCUAGUUCUAACCAUAAACGAUGUCAGCCAACGAUCCGCCGAUGUUCCAUUAAUGACUCGGCGGGCAGCUUCCGGGAAACC